This 77-nucleotide transfer RNA is filed under the name Actinomycetota bacterium. Its description in RNAcentral is "Actinobacteria bacterium (sediment metagenome) tRNA-Pro". It matches the Rfam family "tRNA". Rfam says of the family: Transfer RNA (tRNA) molecules are approximately 80 nucleotides in length. Their secondary structure includes four short double-helical elements and three loops (D, anti-codon, and T loops). Lineage: Bacteria; Bacillati; Actinomycetota. The record is from RNAcentral.
CGGGGCGUGGCGCAGGCUGGCAGCGCACGUGCUUUGGGUGCACGAGGUCGGCGGUUCGAAUCCGCCCGCCCCGACCC